GAUGGCCACUGGUGGAUCAUCGGGGUCUACAGGCCACAAGACGACGAGGCCAAGCUCGAGUUCCUGGCCGAGUUGCACGAUAUGCGUGAGUCCCGCAUAGGCCCGUGGCUCCUUGGCGGUGAUUUCAACAUGAUCGUCUCGGCGGCCGAAAAGAGCAAUGCAAAUCUCAACCACCAUGUCAUGGGUUGAUUUCGACAUUUCAUUGCCAACGAGGAGCUCCGUGGCUUAUACAUGCACGACCGCCGCUAUACUUGGUCUAACGAGCGCGACAACCCGACCCUGGUCCGCAAUGACCGCAUCCUCUGCACCUCUGGAUGGGAGAUUGCUCACCCGCACUGCCUCCUUCAGUGCCUCCCUUUGACAGCCUCGGAUCACUGCCCGCUUCUAGUCAACUGUGUGGCGCGGCCACCAGGGGCUAGACGCUUCCAUUUCGAGCGAUUCUGGCCAAAUCUUGAGGGCUUGCAUGAUGUCGUCUCUGAGGCUUGGACAUCCGUUCUGCCUGACGUCAACCCUUUCAGAAGGAUCGUGACACGUCUCAAGGCUACGACACAUCGGCUCCAGCGCUAG
This 567-nucleotide ribosomal RNA is filed under the name Triticum aestivum (bread wheat). RNAcentral describes it as "partial small subunit ribosomal RNA". The record is from RNAcentral. Lineage: Eukaryota; Viridiplantae; Streptophyta; Magnoliopsida; Poales; Poaceae.